RNAcentral lists this long non-coding RNA (382 nucleotides) under Cyanistes caeruleus (blue tit). RNAcentral describes it as "lncRNA (ENSCCEG00000013069.1)". The record is from RNAcentral. Lineage: Eukaryota; Metazoa; Chordata; Aves; Passeriformes; Paridae.
UAUACUUUUAGGACUAGUGAAUGAAAAUCAAAAGGUGGCAUCUCUGCAUCUCUGAAGUUCUGAGGAGAAAUCAUAUGGAGAACACACUGCUAGCUUGGCUCAGACUUUAUGCCCUGCUCUCCCCACAACCAGCUUGAGGCAACCUCCGGGUCAGAGAGGUGAUGAUGCAGCCUUACCCUGACAGCAGGCAUGGUUCUCCUCUUAUGUGAGCAUCAUAAAUCUACUUUUGUCUUUCCCCCUGCUAUACCCUCUAGGAAGAAAAACACAGUUCCAAACUCCAAAAUGUAUUAAUGAAAACUAUGCUUUUAUAAUGAUCCUCGGGACUUUUCUGUCAUUUUACUAAAUUGGAUGGCUACAUUACCUCAGUAUGGCAAUUAAUGAC